Molecule: small nuclear RNA, 23 nt
Filed under: Arabidopsis thaliana (thale cress)
Lineage: Eukaryota; Viridiplantae; Streptophyta; Magnoliopsida; Brassicales; Brassicaceae
Description: snRNA_10665
Source: RNAcentral
GCAACAGAAUGUGCAGCAGUUGG